GCAGGGGGAGAGCCAAGGGCUGCUCGCGCCCAAAGGCCGACGGCCAUGGAUCCAGAGCACCCUGCGACCACCAUGGGAGACGAGCAGAAGACUCGCGCGAGCUGGAAGAGGAAGGGAGGGCGCGCGUCAGGGAGAUGGAGCGCCAGGAACAGACGCGCCAUGCCUGGGAGCUUGGAGAGGGAGACGGCCAGGGAGCUGUGAACCGAAGGAAGGAAAUCCGGGCACGCGACGGAAUUCAGCCGGGCGCCAUGAGAGCCGUGCGCACGUGGGAGAUCCGGCGAGCUGCAGGUUCUCUAUCGACCGCAUCGUGGC
This 312-nucleotide unclassified non-coding RNA is filed under the name Zea mays. RNAcentral's name for it is "misc RNA Zm00001eb425360". The record is from RNAcentral. Lineage: Eukaryota; Viridiplantae; Streptophyta; Magnoliopsida; Poales; Poaceae.